Phacochoerus africanus (Common warthog) is the source of this 589-nucleotide long non-coding RNA. RefSeq lists it as uncharacterized. Lineage: Eukaryota; Metazoa; Chordata; Mammalia; Artiodactyla; Suidae. The transcript is spliced from 2 exons. The record is from RefSeq and is a predicted model, not a curated record.
CAGCAGAAAUGAAUCUGAGUAAUAUCCAUGAGGAUGCAGGUCAAGGAUGUGCUGUGGAGAAGGUUCCCGAACUUUGUAUCUUCACUGGCUCCAAAAGGCUGCCCUAUUUCAUCAAAAGAAACUUGUUUUUCCUAACAAAGCUGGCUUAAUUUUCUAGUGACAUGGCACAGUUAAAGUACUGUAACAAUGACAGAAGUGCACGUUUCCGCCUUCUUUCCUUUCUAUGAAGUCAGAGGAAGAAACAAUAUAAAAUGCAGACAUGCAAACGGGAAGAUUUCUUUGUCUUAAGCUAACGCUAGGAGGGCGCGGCAAGCUUUCCAGCAGCUGCAACUGGGAGUAACUGUGCUGUCUUGUUCUUUUGCCAAAUCCAUUCCUGAAAUAAAAAUGAAAGAGGCCCUGAACCGUCUUAAUCUUUGGACAUGAUGCUGAACACACAAUGCAGAGAGCGCUGUGCUUGGGAAAAUCUCAACUUGUGGCCAGUUUUACCGCUUCAGGCAGCAGUGGCUUUGGGCAAAGUGCCAGUCUGCUCUGAGCCUCUUUCCUUUUCUGCAAAAUGAGAAUAAAAGUCACCGCCUUGCUUACCUCAUAA